AGAGUUUGAUCCUGGCUCAGGAUGAACGCUAGCUACAGGCUUAACACAUGCAAGUCGAGGGGCAGCAUGGGGUUUGCUUGCAAACCCCGAUGGCGACCGGCGCACGGGUGAGUAACGCGUAUCCAACCUUCCCCUUAGUAGGGCAUAGCCCGGUGAAAAUCGGAUUAAUACCCUAUAUUCUUCACAGCGGACAUCUAACGUGAAGCAAAGAUUCAUCGCUAAGGGAUGGGGAUGCGUCUGAUUAGGUAGUCGGCGGGGUAACGGCCCACCGAGCCAUCGAUCAGUAGGGGUUCUGAGAGGAAGGUCCCCCACAUUGGAACUGAGACACGGUCCAAACUCCUACGGGAGGCAGCAGUGAGGAAUAUUGGUCAAUGGGCGAGAGCCUGAACCAGCCAAGUAGCGUGCAGGAAGACGGCCCUAUGGGUUGUAAACUGCUUUUAUGCGGGGAUAAAGUCAGUUACGCGUAACUGUUUGUAGGUACCGCAUGAAUAAGGACCGGCUAAUUCCGUGCCAGCAGCCGCGGUAAUACGGAAGGUCCGGGCGUUAUCCGGAUUUAUUGGGUUUAAAGGGAGCGCAGGCCGGAGGUCAAGCGUGACGUGAAAUGUAGCCGCUCAACGGCUGAACUGCGUCGCGAACUGGCUUUCUUGAGUGAGUUCGAUGUGGGCGGAAUUCGUGGUGUAGCGGUGAAAUGCUUAGAUAUCACGAAGAACUCCGAUUGCGAAGGCAGCCCACAAGGCCUUUACUGACGCUAAAGCUCGAAGGUGCGGGUAUCGAACAGGAUUAGAUACCCUGGUAGUCCGCACGGUAAAGAUGGAUGCCCCCUGUUUGCGAAAUACUGUGAGC
RNAcentral lists this ribosomal RNA (843 nucleotides) under uncultured bacterium. Its description in RNAcentral is "bacterial SSU rRNA". It matches the Rfam family "Bacterial small subunit ribosomal RNA", at positions 8 to 844 of the family's 1533-position model. The record is from RNAcentral.